GUUUGUGUGUGUGUGUGUGUGUGUGUGUGUGUGUGUGUGUGUGUGUGUGUGUGUGUGUGUGUGUGUCCCUCCUCCAAACAGGGACGUUGUGAGAGUUGAAUGAGUGAGACAGAGAGAGAGAGGGCAAUUGCACAACACAUCCUUUCUCUCACCAGCUCUUCAUCCCCAUGAUAGACAAAAUAGAAAUGCAUACAUUUGUAAAUGUUAGCUUUGCGCUCAUCACACGAUGGCACCACUAGUUGAUUUCCCCUUAAGCCCCUCCCCAUGGGGAGCCGUCGGUAGACCUGUGAGGACUGGCAGACAGGGCGAAUCAUGAGGGACAUUACUGUGCGUGCAUCAGAGUGAGACUUUGUAUGUGUGAGUUUUCAUGUUCAUUUACUGUUCAUAGAAAUUAGUUAAGACUACAGGUACUCAUUUUGAAUACAUGUGCUUUUUUGUAUGUGUAUGAAUGCACAUUUGUGCCUAAGAACUUGGAUAGGGUGCGUGGCCAUUGAGACAUUAACUCUUUUUUGAGAGCAAGUGUAUUGUGUGUCAGUGCUCAGCACAGUGUAUGUAAAGUAUGUAAGUUUAUAUCGUAAAUGUUUCUAGUUCAGUCUAGGGGUGAUCCAUCGGAAGGUUAGUCCAGUCUGUUUUCCUGGGGUGUGAUCACGUUGCCUUUUGUCAGCUCUCGAACUUGUGAAUGAAAGGUGUCGAGAUUCUGACUCUGAAAAGAAAACAGCAUCUUAAUGUGCAAGUGCACAGAAGGGUGCAUGACAUGUUAGCAUAUUGUGUUACUUAUUCGUUGUUGCAAUUUGAUAAUGACGAGUUUCUUUUUUUAAUGAAAAAUAUAUAUGAAUAUAUACAUUAUAUACAAAGUUUAAAAAGUAUUUGGACUAAGAUAAUGAGCACUUGGGGCUGCUAUUUUUGUUGUGUGUUCUAAUUUUUUUCCUUAAUUUUUAUUUCAUUAUCGCCAUGUGAAGUGUGUAUUAUUUCUUAAGAAAAUAUUGAAUGUAUUCCAAAAAAAUGACAAGAAACCCGUGCUGAUACCAGAUUCUAUUUUUUUUUCCUCAGAAGAUUUCAAAAAUGGAAACAAAAUACAAAAAAGCUUCAGAGAAUUUAGCGAGAACUUUUUUUUAUUUACAGUGGAAAAGAAGAAAAAAAAACCGGGGCUGGAAACAGUUGAACACACUGCCUCUACAAUCCUGGUCGUACAAAUAGUGACUAAGAAUGAAAAGACUCUUUCUAUUCCAUACUGGAGCUUUGGUUGUUUACAAACCACAUGGAUAUCUGUGGGUGCAGUUUUUUGUUAUUUGUUUUAUUUUUGUUCCCACAUGAGACGGGUGGGGUUUGCAAGUGCGCUUCUGCCAUAUGGACAUUGAGUUGUGUUGGGUUUUUUUUUUGAGGAAGAGCGGCAGGUAUCACAAGAACAUGGACACAAUCUUCUGACUGGACCUCUGUGUGUGGUCAUGGAGAAUUGAUGAUCCACCACGGGGGAAAGGGAGGGAAAUCAAGGAUGGGCUUUGUUUGUGGAGUGCAGGGCUGCAAAACCCUAGAGGGAAGAGAAGGUGAUACGUGUACACCUGGUUAGUGCGCUUGUCUCCACCUCAACCCUCAGAAGCACUCACCUGCCCUUACCAACUCACCUAUGCACUUUUGUUCAUUCAAGCUGUGAGGUACAAUGUUGGGGAUGGGAGCACAAUUACAACAGGAGGAUUGCUACGACUUUGACAAAGUCACUGAAAAAAAAAUAUUCCCAAACUGAAAUAAGAGACUCGAGAAAAACGUCUUCUCCCACCUCCUGUAUAUAACCAUAUUUUUGUAUUAUCUUUCGGAGAAGAAAGAAACUUUGCAAAUGGAUGAAGGAAAAAUACAUGCGACGUUGACUAUAUGGAGUGAAUGUUCUUCAAGAAAACCAAUCUUUUUGAGUAUAGUUUGAAAUGGACUCGCUGUGAGUUUCCCUUAGUUUGCCAGUAACCCUGAAAUAAUCGGGGAUGGAAGGGAAAUAAAAAAAAACAAGGACUAAGUUUGUAGGACUUGCUAAAGUGGCUCCGAGACUGACUGAGAGUUACUUAUCAAAACGGAUGCUGCAGUCUCGACAAAAAAGUCCCACCAAGAGUGUUUGAUCAACAUACACGGUGAAGAGGCAGACGUGGGUUUGAAGGUCUUCUCCGAACCUGAUGGCUGCCUCCAGAGCUGUGGAGUUACUGCAGGAGGAACAAUAUUUGGCAAUGGAGUCUGGCUGUGCUUUAUUUGCUGCCCUCUGCCAGGAGGAUCUAAUCUACAGCCAACCCAUGAACCAGUUUACCCUAAACCUUUGAACUUAAACCCUAAGAAACUUUUCUGUCUUGACCUCAGACUUGACAGGCCGCUGGCAUUAUCAGUUGGACAGUUGCAAGAUGAACAGGUUUAUAGGCCGUGGAUCCCAUCUGUGUUGGAAGUGUGAGGAUCGGGACUUGAUCUCCCAUGGAGGAAAAGGAUAAAGAGGCACGUAUUGCCCAGAUGUCAUCACCCCACCUCGGCCUGAAGCUCUCAGGCAGUCGCGUGGAGGUCUUCUAAGCGGCGGGACAGAAGACUCAGAGCUGGAUUGGGAUUUGACGGACGUGGCUGGAUUACAUCAAAGUCACCAGGAAUCCCUGCAGCUGUGGAACUGGAUGAACUGAAAGAAUUGUACAAAAAAAACAACAAAAAAAAAAACUUUGAAACAUUACAAAACACAAUCGAGUAGCUACACGUCACAUAGAUUCUAGUUGCGGACACACUACAUGCACAUGCUACAGAAAAAGCAACACACAGUGGCUCUCCCCUGGAACCACAAACACACAACAGGGCUACACCAACAUUAGAUGACACACACACACAAAUCAUUGCUCAAUAUAAUCGCUGAGCUUUGUAAAUAAUGUAAAAGUUUGUGUUUUUGAUUUUUCUCUCAUAGUGGUUUUGCUUUAUUUCUCUGUUCAACAUGCCUUAAAUUGUAUAGUUCAGCUCUGAACGGCUAACUGAAAAUGUUCUCUAAAAGGUGAAUUUAAGUUGGAAACCGCCUCCUUUAACUGUCCUCUAAAGUCGAAAGAGAGAAAGGAGCUUUCUAAAAGUUUUCUGUUUGUUAACAGGACAGUGUUCUGUAUUAAUUUGAGACAUCUAACCACCAUGAAAGAGACUGUUUUGCUACAGAAAGAGCAAGCACUCUUUGAUUAAUCUGAUUUUGCUGGUGGUUAGCUUGUGUUGCCCUUUUGGUUUCCUUAAAGUUUAGAAUUGAUUUGUUCACAUUUCCUGUUGGAUAAUUGCAAAAAGUGCAGGCUUAAUAAAGGGCUGAAGUCUGUACUGUAUGGAGCUGAGCUGACUGGGGGGAUACACAGAAUUGGCUUAAAACAGAUGUAUUAUUGUGUGAAAUAUUGUUGGAUAUACUGCUCUAGGCCAAACUGAACCAGAGUGACAGGUCUUCUAAGUAGGGGCUUUUUGGUUAUUAUUUGUAUACACUCCGGUUGACUUUAACGUUUUGGAAGCAACCAGAUACUUUUUACAGUUAUGGGAUGUCAAAUCAGUCUUGUGAGAAUCAUGAUUGCAUGAUGUGUAGUAUUUGUGGGUUUUGACCAUGUUUUGAUGCUGAACCUUGACGUGCGUAACAAUUUGUCCCAGAUUGCAGCAGUUUUGUUUGUGCACCGGGGAGUGCUGCUGACUAUAUGAAUGCACUGAAUAGAUAAGAAAUCGGCCAGUCAGUUGUGUGUUAUCCAGAAGGAAAUUCUUGUCCUGAAAAUUUGGAAAGCGUCUUGUUCCAUUUGUGUAUAUCUAUUUGGAUUUGAGAGAUUAAUGCUUUUAGGCGACUAGUUGCUUUUUGUAUCAUUGACAACUAAACACUAUGCCGUUUUUAUUCCAAUUUGCAACUGAGGUUACAUAUGUAAUAAACUUGUACAUCUUUUUAGCUGAGAUGUUGAUGGAUAGCUAACUGUACUAAGUUUAAUGUUGGCUUUAUCAGUUGCCAAAACAAAAAAUUGACUUUAUACUAUCACGUCUGUUGUUUGAGAGUGACUUUAAAAAAUAUCUAUGUUUGAUGUUUUUAAAUGCUGAUAUUGUGUGGUAUUAGUUGUUGGUUGGUCAGCCUGUCUUAAUAGAGUAAAAACAAAGUUAUUUUACUGCACCACAGGUGCUUUUAUGAUUAGAUAAACUGCAAUAUUGUUUCUUCCAAAAGCCCACGAUAUUUAAUUGCAGCCUUUGAAAAGAUUAUGUCACGUCCUGUCCACCUAAAUUGGUAUGAAACCUGGUUCAGUUUAGUUCUGGUAACUGUAAAUCUAACAAUAUGGAUCAAAAAAUAUGUGUUAAGUUAUAUCCCAGUCAGCUCAGCCCCUUGAAUAACAAGUCUUUGAAUGUUGAGAUAACAGCAUAAUGUGAUAAACUGUUUUGGAAAAGAACAACUGAAAGAUGUGUAAAUAGUUUGGCUUUUGUUUGUUUGAAGAACAAAAUAAAUACAAAAUAAAUAGCAUUUAGCAGUCA
Long non-coding RNA from Notothenia coriiceps (black rockcod), 4464 nucleotides. RefSeq lists it as uncharacterized. The transcript has 2 exons. NCBI's taxonomy places the organism in Eukaryota, Metazoa, Chordata, Actinopteri, Perciformes, Nototheniidae. The record is from RefSeq and is a predicted model, not a curated record.